Homo sapiens (human) is the source of this 1208-nucleotide long non-coding RNA. RefSeq annotates it as IL4 antisense RNA 1. The record is from RefSeq and is marked validated. NCBI's taxonomy places the organism in Eukaryota, Metazoa, Chordata, Mammalia, Primates, Hominidae. The transcript has 2 exons.
ACUUAAAAAAUAAAGCUAUCAAAAACUCAUAAAUUAAAAUAUUCAGCUCGAACACUUUGAAUAUUUCUCUCUCAUGAUCGUCUUUAGCCUUUCCAAGAAGUUUUCCAACGUACUCUGGUUGGCUUCCUUCACAGGACAGGAAUUCUGCAAAAGAAACAUUUCAUUAGCUUGCAUUGAACAUUCCAUGAGAACAGGGACUCGGCCUGCGUGUCUUUAGUGACACGUCCUCAGCACCUAGAACCACACCCAGCACUUGUGGAACUUCAGCAAAUACUUAUUGAAUGAGUGAAUGAAUGAAUGGGUUGACCAAGGGUGCUGCAGCUCCUAAGGAGUGUUUAGAAGUGAGGCUGCUGUCCACCAGGAGCCACGCGGCCGGCUUGCCAGGAAUACAGUGCAGCUUACCAAGCCCGCCAGGCCCCAGAGGUUCCUGUCGAGCCGUUUCAGGAAUCGGAUCAGCUGCUUGUGCCUGUGGAACUGCUGUGCAGUCGCACCCAGGCAGCGAGUGUCCUUCUCAUGGUGGCUGUAGAACUGCCGGAGCACAGUCGCAGCCCUGCAGAAGGUUUCCUUCUCAGUUGUGUUCUGGAAAGACAAAUGCCACAGAUAGCAAUGUGCCAGCUCCAUUUGGAGGAUGGGAGAGAGAUUUUUCCUCUUGAUUUCUUCUUUCCAGGAGGACAAAUGGAGGUGAGUUUGCUCAACUACAGACCUGUCUUCAAGUAUUCCACUGAAGGAAGGCUGCUUGCCACAGACAUAAACCUCUGUCAACAACCUCUCCCAAUUGCAAACGCAGCAGCCUUCUCCCCAGAACCUCCCAGUUUCCUUUCUCUUGGAGGAUUUUGCCGAAAGGGUACCUGAAUAAAGUCAUCCCAUGAGGAAAAGGCACAGUGGGGACUAGAAUGCAGGACCAUCUGUCGCUACAGCCCACGUUCUGCGUCCGUGUCUCUAUACCUCAUGAGCUAUUCUGCUAUGAAAAGUGCCCACAUGAGCUCUCAGUCAGGUUCUGCUCUUGUUCCCAGAGGUUUUAAAAUCCAGCUUUCCCUGGAAAUCCUGCAUGCCUGUUGAAUAAAUGAGUGCACAUCCUUUGGCCUGAACUCUGCUGCUUUGGCCAGCACUCUCCGUGUGGCUCUCCCCAUGGGAGAGGAGAGCAGCACAUGGCCCAAGUGAGGAGCUAAGACAUUUUGCCAGGCAGCAAGAGAUAAGUGCACAGAUCA